AUGCACUUUAAUUAUCAGGUAUGUCACUAUGGAAGAACUAGAGCAAGUCCUCCACGAAUACGGCUUACAUGGUGAAUUUUAAUCUUUCCAGUACAACCAUAUCUCACUCCCUCUGUCCAGUCGUGCAGAAGACAUCUUCAUUAACCGGUAACAGAUGAAAUAAUUUGAUGUCGAGUUUCCCGUGUAGAAAGGCGAAAAUGCUACAAGUGGAGGAUAGAUAACAACUCAAGACACAUGGUAUGAGGGUGCAGGUAAACUGUACAUAUGCAUCUGGAAAAAGUUAACAGUUUUGUAUUCGAUUUUUUAUGUUUUUCCAGUGUAAGGCAUAUGUUGCAUAAGCAUGUAAAUGGUACAAAUUAUUUGGUUUUGGAUAGUAAACUUUGAGUUUUACAGGAAAAAUCAAGAAAAUGUGUCACUCAUCUAUUC
RNAcentral lists this small RNA (426 nucleotides) under Malus domestica (apple). Its description in RNAcentral is "sRNA MD06G0016600". Lineage: Eukaryota; Viridiplantae; Streptophyta; Magnoliopsida; Rosales; Rosaceae. The record is from RNAcentral.